GCCACUGGAAGUUCAGCCUCCCUCCUUCCAGGUCUCUGAUUGCCAUCCCUCCUGGACCAACUGCUCUCCUGUAGACUGUAAGGCUUUCCAUCACUUUGAUCCUCUAUGGCAACCCCAACAUUUUCCUCCUCAGCUGAUUGCUUCUUCUUCAAAUCCUUUGACACUGCAGGAUCCUCAACAAUCUCUCCAUCCUCCACCUUGACAACAGCAGACAAAAGCCGCCGUUUUGCAGGAGGUUGAUCUUCUGCAUCAUUCCUAUCUGCAGGUCGAACAAAGCCUCGCGGGCGAACAACAUUGGAGGCAAAGUUCCGAGGACCAGCACCAGACAACCCACCCCUUCGGAGCCCCCGAGGAUCACGCAGCCGCUCAGUAAUCUGACGCUGUUGGCGGAAGAGCUCAUCGAUCUCUCGCUGGAGCUCUUCCUCAGUCUUGUCAAUAGCGGUGGUGGUACCCAUAUCGGGUGCGGUUGCGGUUAGUUGCUCCAAGAAUUUGCGCGACCUCAACAAUACAGAGACCAGAAGCUACGUCUGUGACUGUAAGAGUUGUUGGGUGUGGUCGUGUUGGAGAGAAAGAAAACCCUUUUGAGGGCUUGGAAAAUUUGUGAUGUUUUAUGGACGGGGGUGGCCC
Molecule: unclassified non-coding RNA, 627 nt
Filed under: Hevea brasiliensis (rubber tree)
Lineage: Eukaryota; Viridiplantae; Streptophyta; Magnoliopsida; Malpighiales; Euphorbiaceae
Source: RNAcentral